This 261-nucleotide ribosomal RNA is filed under the name uncultured archaeon. RNAcentral describes it as "partial 16S ribosomal RNA". It matches the Rfam family "Archaeal small subunit ribosomal RNA", at positions 748 to 1008 of the family's 1478-position model. The record is from RNAcentral.
AGGGUGUAAACGCUGCAGACUUGGUGUUGGGAACCCUUCGGGGGUGCUCAGUGCCGGAGAGAAGUUGUUAAGUCUGCUACUUGGGGAGUACGACCGCAAGGAUGAAACUUAAAGGAAUUGGCGGGGGAGCACCGCAACGGGAGGAGCGUGCGGUUUAAUUGGAUUCAACACCGUAAAACUCACCAGGGAAGACUGUUACAUGAAGGCCGAGAUGAAGACUCUGCUAGAUUUUCAGAGAGGAGGUGCAUGGCGUCAGUGACU